GAUGAACGCUGGCGGCGUGCUUAACACAUGCAAGUCGAACGAUGAAGCCCAGCUUGCUGGGUGGAUUAGUGGCGAACGGGUGAGUAACACGUGAGUAACCUGCCCCCGACUCUGGGAUAAGCCCGGGAAACUGGGUCUAAUACCGGAUAUGACCUCGCACCGCAUGGUGCGGGGUGGAAAGAUUUAUCGGUGGGGGAUGGACUUGCGGCCUAUCAGCUUGUUGGUGAGGUAAUGGCUCACCAAGGCGACGACGGGUAGCCGGCCUGAGAGGGUGACCGGCCACACUGGGACUGAGACACGGCCCAGACUCCUACGGGAGGCAGCAGUGGGGAAUAUUGCACAAUGGGCGAAAGCCUGAUGCAGCGACGCCGCGUGAGGGAUGACGGCCUUCGGGUUGUAAACCUCUUUCAGUAGGGAAGAAGCGAAAGUGACGGUACCUGCAGAAGAAGCGCCGGCUAACUACGUGCCAGCCGCCGCAGUAA
RNAcentral lists this ribosomal RNA (482 nucleotides) under uncultured bacterium. RNAcentral's name for it is "partial 16S ribosomal RNA". It matches the Rfam family "Bacterial small subunit ribosomal RNA", at positions 28 to 523 of the family's 1533-position model. The record is from RNAcentral.